AACGAACGCUANCKCGNRNUNNKNCUUAACACAUGCAAGNUCGAACGGACKANNNUARUUGGGGCUUGCUCCAAUUAGUUAGUGGCAGACGGGUGAGUAACACGUGGGAAUCUGCCCAUCAGUACGGAAUAACUUUUAGAAAUAAAAGCUAAUACCGUAUAUUCUCUACGGAGGAAAGAUUUAUCGCUGAUGGAUGAGCCCGCGUCAGAUUAGGUAGUUGGUGGGGUAAUGGCCUACCAAGCCUACGAUCUGUAGCUGGUCUGAGAGGAUGAUCAGCCACACUGGGACUGAGACACGGCCCAGAC
This 305-nucleotide ribosomal RNA is filed under the name bacterium endosymbiont of Otiorhynchus rugosostriatus. Its description in RNAcentral is "partial 16S ribosomal RNA". It matches the Rfam family "Bacterial small subunit ribosomal RNA", at positions 47 to 336 of the family's 1533-position model. The record is from RNAcentral.